RNAcentral lists this ribosomal RNA (485 nucleotides) under uncultured bacterium. RNAcentral describes it as "partial 16S ribosomal RNA". It matches the Rfam family "Bacterial small subunit ribosomal RNA", at positions 28 to 507 of the family's 1533-position model. The record is from RNAcentral.
AUUGAACGCUGGCGGCAUGCUUUACACAUGCAAGUCGAGCGGCAGCGCGGGGGCAACCCUGGCGGCGAGCGGCGAACGGGUGAGUAAUGCAUCGGAACGUAUCCUCGAGUGGGGGAUAACCCAGCGAAAGUUGGGCUAAUACCGCAUGAGCUCUGAGGAGGAAAGCGGGGGACCUGCGAGGGCCUCGCGCUGGAGGAGCGGCCGAUGUCCGAUUAGCUGGUUGGUGGGGUAAAGGCUUACCAGGGGGCAGAUGGGUAGCUGGUCUGAGAGGAUGUUCAGCACCCCGGGACUGAGAAACCGCCCCCACUCCGUAGGGAGGCAACAGUGGGGAAUUUUGGACAAUGGGGGCAACCCUGAUCCAGCCAUGCCGCGUGAGUGAAGAAGGCCUUCGGGUUGUAAAGCUCUUUCGGACGGAACGAAAUGGGCGGGACUAAUACUCCUGUCUGAUGACGGUACCGUAAGAAGAAGCACCGGCUAACUACGUG